RNAcentral lists this ribosomal RNA (242 nucleotides) under uncultured bacterium. RNAcentral's name for it is "partial 16S ribosomal RNA". It matches the Rfam family "Bacterial small subunit ribosomal RNA", at positions 524 to 765 of the family's 1533-position model. The record is from RNAcentral.
UACGUAGGGUGCAAGCGUUAAUCGGAAUUACUGGGCGUAAAGCGUGCGCAGGCGGUUAUGUAAGACAGGUGUGAAAUCCCCGGGCUUAACCUGGGAACUGCAUUUGUGACUGCAUAGCUAGAGUACGGUAGAGGGGGAUGGAAUUCCGCGUGUAGCAGUGAAAUGCGUAGAUAUGCGGAGGAACACCGAUGGCGAAGGCAAUCCCCUGGACCUGUACUGACGCUCAUGCACGAAAGCGUGGG